Molecule: transfer RNA, 75 nt
Filed under: Cordylochernes scorpioides
Lineage: Eukaryota; Metazoa; Arthropoda; Arachnida; Pseudoscorpiones; Chernetidae
Description: tRNA-Thr
Source: RNAcentral
UGUCAGGGGAUGGGAAUCGAACCCACGACCUUCCGCUUACCGGGCAGAUGCCAUGACUACUAGGCUACCCUGGAC